This 801-nucleotide ribosomal RNA is filed under the name uncultured Alphaproteobacteria bacterium. RNAcentral describes it as "bacterial SSU rRNA". It matches the Rfam family "Bacterial small subunit ribosomal RNA", at positions 8 to 848 of the family's 1533-position model. The record is from RNAcentral. Lineage: Bacteria; Pseudomonadati; Pseudomonadota; Alphaproteobacteria.
AGAGUUUGAUCAUGGCUCAGAACGAACGCUGGCGGCAGGCCUAACACAUGCAAGUCGAACGAAGCCCCUCUUCGGAGGUCAGCUUAGUGGCGCACGGGUGAGUAACACGUGGGAACGUACCCUUAGGUGCAGGACAACAGUUGGAAACGACUGCUAAUACUGCAUAAUAACUCCGGUUCAAAGAAUUUCGCCUAAGGAUCGGCCCGCGUCUGAUUAGCUAGUUGGUGGGGUAAUGGCCUACCAAGGCGACGAUCAGUAGCUGUUCUGAGAGGAUGAUCAGCCACACUGGUACUGAGACACGGACCAGACUCCUACGGGAGGCAGCAGUGAGGAAUAUUGGACAAUGGGGGCAACCCUGAUCCAGCCAUGCCGCGUGAGUGAAGAAGGCCUUAGGGUUGUAAAGCUCUUUCAGAUGUGAAGAUGAUGACGGUAACAUCAGAAGAAGCUCCGGCUAACUUCGUGCCAGCAGCCGCGGUAAUACGAAGGGAGCGAGCGUUGUUCGGAAUCACUGGGCGUAAAGCGUGCGUAGGCGGAUAAGAAAGUCAGAAGUGAAAUCCCGGGGCUCAACCCCGGAACUGCUUUUGAAACUCCUUGUCUAGAGUAUGGUAGAGGAUAACGGAAUUCCGAGUGUAGAGGUGAAAUUCGCAGAUAUUCGGAGGAACACCAGUUGCGAAGGCGGCUAUCUGGGCCAUUACUGACGCUGAGGUACGAAAGCGUGGGGAGCAAACAGGAUUAGAUACCCUGGUAGUCCACGCCGUAAGCGAUGUAUGCUAGUUGUCGGGGGUUCUGCCUUCGGUGACG